RNAcentral lists this ribosomal RNA (1435 nucleotides) under uncultured marine bacterium. RNAcentral's name for it is "bacterial SSU rRNA". It matches the Rfam family "Bacterial small subunit ribosomal RNA". The record is from RNAcentral.
GAGUUUGAUCAUGGCUCAGGAUGAACGCUGGCGGCGUGCUUAACACAUGCAAGUCGAACGAAGUAGCAAUACUUAGUGGCAGACGGGUGAGUAACAUGUAGGUAUCUGCCCUUUGGCCUGGAAUAACACGAGGAAACUUGUGCUAAUACCGGAUAAGUCUUUACGGAGAAAGCUUUAUGCACCAUUGGAUGAGCCUGCAUUAGAUUAGUUUGUUGGUGGGGUAAUGGCCUACCAAGACUGUGAUCUAUAGCUGAUUUGAGAGGAUGAUCAGCCACAUUGGGACUGAGACACGGCCCAAACUCCUACGGGAGGCAGCAGUGGGGAAUCUUGCACAAUGGAGGAAACUCUGAUGCAGCGAUGCCGCGUGAGUGAAGAAGGCCCUUGGGUUGUAAGGCUCUUUCGUCGGGGAAGAAAAUGACUGUACCCGAAUAAGAAGGUCCGGCUAACUUCGUGCCAGCAGCCGCGGUAAUACGAAGGGACCUAGCGUAGUUCGGAUUUACUGGGCUUAAAGAGUUCGUAGGUGGUUGAAAUAGUUGAUGGUGAAAUCCCAGAGCUUAACUCUGGAACUGCCAUCAAAACUUUUCAGCUAGAGUAUGAUAGAGGAAAGCAGAAUUUCUAGUGUAGAGGUGAAAUUCGUAGAUAUUAGAAAGAAUACCAAUUGCGAAGGCAGCUUUCUGGAUCAUUACUGACACUGAGGAACGAAAGCAUGGGUAGCGAAGAGGAUUAGAUACCCUCGUAGUCCAUGCCGUAAACGAUGUGUGUUAGACGUUGGAAAUUUAUUUUCAGUGUCGCAGCGAAAGCGAUAAACACACCGCCUGGGGAGUACGACCGCAAGGUUAAAACUCAAAUGAAUUGACGGGGACCCGCACAAGUAGUGGAGCAUGUGGUUUAAUUCGAAGAUACGCGCAGAACCUUACCAACACUUGACAUGUUCGUCGCGACUCUAAGAGAUUAGAGUUUUCGGUUCGGCCGGACGAAACACAGGUGCUGCAUGGCUGUCGUCAGCUCGUGUCGUGAGAUGUUGGGUCAAGUCCCGCAACGAGCGCAACCCUCACUUUUAGUUGCCAUCAUUUAGUUGGGCACUCUGAAAGAACUGCCAGUGAUAAGCUGGAGGAAGGUGGGGAUGACGUCAAGUCCUCAUGGCCCUUACGUGUUGGGCUACACACGUGCUACAAUGGUAUUUACAACAGGAAGCAAGACGGCGACGUUAAGCAAAUCCUUAAAAAAUACCUCAGUUCGGAUUGCACUCUGCAACUCGAGUGCAUGAAGCUGGAAUUACUAGUAAUCGUGGAUCAGCGUGCCACGGUGAAUGCGUUCCCGGGUCUUGUACACACCGCCCGUCACACCAUGGGAGUUGGUUCUACCUUAAGGCAAGGUUUUAAACCCUUGACCACGGUAUAGUCAGCGACUGGGGUGAAGUCGUAACAAGGUAACC